RNAcentral lists this long non-coding RNA (815 nucleotides) under Marmota monax (woodchuck). Lineage: Eukaryota; Metazoa; Chordata; Mammalia; Rodentia; Sciuridae. The record is from RNAcentral.
GUUAAAGAGUAGAAGGCCAUGGACCUUUGGGCCACUUCCUCAUGCAACUUAUUUUGUGUCUUAAAGUUCUGCUUAUGCUUGUUUUUUUUUCCCCCAGAGGAAAGGGGAUUGGUACUGGGGAUUGAAUCCAGGGAUGCUCUACAUUCCCAGCACUUUUAUUUUUAAUUUUGAAACACAGACUUUUAAGUUAUUGAGGCUGGGCUCAAACUUAUGAUCCUCCUCCCUCAGCCACCUGGGAUUAUAGGCAUGCACCACCAUACCCAUCUUCACACCUUGUUUUAGUCAGCUUUUUUGCCACUGUGACUAAAGGACCCAACCAGAACAAUGGUAGAGGGUGGAUUUGAUUCAUUUGGCCUUCAGGUGAAAUAUAAAGAAUUGGUCACUGUUGAAGUUGAGUGCUGUUAGAUGUCUAAUUAAGUAAGGAAAGCAGAUAAAGAGGCAGGUAUUGAUAAGUAUUCUCUAUAUGCCAGGCAUUGUGCUAGUUAGUUGCCUGUAUUUAUUUAUAAAUUUUGGGAUUGUAAUCUGUUUACAAUUGAGGAAUUGGAGCUCAAACUAGUUUAGUGACAUACUUAGUUUAGAAAAGAAUAAAUUAUUGAUUCAUGCAACAUGAAUCACAAAAUAACCAUGCUAAAUUAAAGAAGCAGAUCCCCAAACCCCCCAAAAGAGAACAUACUGUUGAGUCCAUUCAUAGAAAGUAAAAACUAAAUUUGUAGCAACGUAAGGCAGAGAAGAGAUUGCAUGGAGAUGGGAACAGCAAGUAAGGUUGGGAGGAAUUAUCAAGGGAAUGUGAGGAAAGAUUUUUUUGGGUGGAGAUA